RNA transcript from Poecilia latipinna (sailfin molly), 13698 nucleotides. It is a transcript of the gene named bassoon presynaptic cytomatrix protein a, with no coding region annotated. The transcript is spliced from 16 exons. Lineage: Eukaryota; Metazoa; Chordata; Actinopteri; Cyprinodontiformes; Poeciliidae. The record is from RefSeq and is a predicted model, not a curated record.
CUUUGUCUCUUUCAGAGGUCCAACGGGCCCAAUGGGUAGUCCAAAGCCAGGAAUGCAACAAGGUGGACAUGGCGGAGGAGGGAUGGGAGGAGGAAUGGGUGGAGGAAUGGGAGGUGGGGGGAUGAGUGGGAUGGGAGGAGGAAUGGGAGGAAUGGGAGCAGGCAUGGUAGGAGGAGGUAUGGGGGGGAUGGGUGAAGGUAUGGGAGCAGGAAUAGGGAGUGGGAUGGGAGGAAUGGGCGGAGGAGGUAUGGGGGGAAUGGGCAGUGGUGGAGGAAUAGGGUCCAGAGCUGGAGAGCCGUAUCGUCUGGCUGCUCAUGACAGCCCAACCUCCCCUCGACACAUGCAGUCCAGCCAAGGGUCGGGCAUGGGGCAGGUCUCAGGAUCCGGCCAUGGGGUGGGUCACACUGCAACUGGCUCCAGCAUGGCAGGCCAUGGUGGCCAAAGUCCCGGUCAGCAUGCCUCCCGGCGAAACCUCCAAGUCGACUUCAGUGGCUCAGGUGGUUCUCGGACGGGCCGGUCUCCUUCGGUGUCUCCUGACCGCGGCGUGACUCCCACCUCGCCCUACUCCGUGCCGCAGAUCGCACCCAUGCCAAGCAGCAAACUGUGCCCAGUGUGCACCACCACAGAGCUGUGCAAUCCACCGGCGGUGCCCAACUACAACACCUGCACCCAAUGCAAGGCCACCGUGUGCAACCAGUGCGGAUUCAACCCCAACCCCCAUCUCACCGAGGUCCAGGAAUGGCUAUGCCUGAAUUGUCAGAUGCAGAGAGCUCUUGGCAUUGAUAUGACCACACCUCGCUCAAAGAGCCAACAGCAAAUUCACUCUCCGUCCCACCAAGCCAAGCCCAUCGUCCAGCCACAGCAGCCCGUUCCGCAGCCAACACAGCCGGCUGCUGCUGCACAGCCCAAACCUCUGGCACAGAGUCAGUCGACUCAACAGCAGCAACAGCACCAACAGCAACAACCUCAUUCCCAGCCUUAUGGCCAAACUCAUCCCUACUCCCAGUCCCAGCCGUAUUCCCAGUCCCAGCCGUAUUCCCAGUCCCAGCCAUAUUCCCAGGCUCAACCGUAUUCCCAGUCCCAGCCAUAUUCCCAGGCUCAACCGUAUUCCCAGUCCCAGCCAUAUUCCCAGUCCCAACAGUAUCCCCAGUCCCAGCCUCAGCCUUACCCUCCAUCACAACCAGGACCCCAGACACAGCCUCAGACACAUCCAGGCCUUGGUGGUCCCCAGUCUAAGACAACACCCUCUCAGCAGGGCCUGAGGUCUGACCCGUACUCCCAGAGAGGUGUUGGAGCUCAAGGAGGUGCUGGAGGUCCGACAGGCGGCCCCGGCCAACAAGGAGGUCCUCGAAUUCCCCACCCAGGCGCUGUACCUCUGCCUGGGUUGACUAAGGCACCCUCCCAGCCAGAUUUAGGUCGAGGUUCUCCGAUGCAUCAACCUAUGACACGUCACCAUGACCAGACGAGAAGCGCUGGAUCUUCCCCAGCCCACCGACCUCAGAGUCAGGCCCCUGCCCAGGAUGGUCUGACCAAACUGUUUGGCUUUGGGGCAUCGCUGCUCAAUCAGGCUAGUACCCUGAUCAACGUCGACCCUCUACCCACAGCCUCAACACAGCCAAGCCCUGCGCGAGGUAAGGUGGUGUUCAGCAAUGCAACUCCCGAUAACAGACAACAAGGGCCCAGCAGCACUAAGCCUUUCAGCAUGGGGGGUCCUCAAGCUCCAAGCCAAACUGGGGGUCCACAGGCAACAAGUCAAGGGGGAGGUUUGAGUGGACCAAGCCAAAUGGGAGGACCUCAAGCACCAAGUCAAAAGGGCGGUCCUCAUACACCUGCUCCAACAGGAGGCCCCAUCGCUGGCCCCCAAGGGCCAAGCCAAAAGCAGCAGCAGCAGGCUGGACUCCAAAAACAACAAACGCCGCCACAGCAGCCACUUACUCAGCGUCAAAAGGAGCAACAAGGACAGCAGAUGCCUGCUCCCCAGCAGAAAGUGUUGCAGAAACAGGAACCAGUGUCGGUGCCCGUGACUGCUCCAGAGGCCGAGAAGCCCAAGGUGAACUGUCCUCUCUGCAAAACAGAGCUGAACAUCGGCAGCACCGACACACCCAACUACAACACCUGUACGCAGUGUCAAAGCCAAGUGUGCAACCUGUGUGGCUUCAACCCAACACCGCAUCUAGUCGAGAAAAAAGAGUGGUUAUGUCUUAACUGCCAGACCCAGCGGCUGUUGUCUGGAGGCGGCCUGGAUGAGCCUCCUCUUCCUGUUCCCCAUGCCUCCCCGAAGCACCAACCAAUGGGCUCACCUCGUCACCAGACGCCGACCAGUCAGCAAAGCCCUGUCCACAAGUCGACCACUCAGCAAGGACCCAAACCGGUCCAGCCGCAGGGACAAAAAUCCCAGAUGGGAACAGGCGUCGGUGGACCUACUGGUCCCACGCCCGCCAAACAGCCCACCGAUACCAAGACCACAACGCCAGCCACAGCACCAGUGCCAACCACCGAGGCCCAGAAACCCACGAAACCAACAGAGGAGAAGCCUAAGACGGAGCCUGAGAACCAAACUGCCAAAGAGACCAAACCUUCACAGAAGAAAGGGGAGCAGAUCACUCCAGUAAAGGAAAUUAAGAAGUCUAGGCACUAUGACGACACAAAAAACAACAGCACCCAUGACUUGUCACGCAGCCCUCAGAGUCUCAGUGACACUGGCUACUCCUCUGAUGGGAUCUCCAGCUCACACAGUGAAAUUACAGGUCUAAUCCAAGAGGAGGAAAUGAAGCUGAGUGAGAGGGGAAUCAGUGGGCGAGGCUCUCCUCCAAGCCCCUCUGAAAUCACCAAGCUGGAGAGCUCGAUGAGGCCACUGCUGGAGAAAAGCCUCUCUGAGGAAAAGCCGGACAGAAGGGGAAGAAAGCACAGGGACAGAGACUUGGAUGACAGAGGAAAGCAUCGACCACGUUCCCUUUCAAUUCCUCCAGAUGCAUAUGAUUCUGAUGAGGAAUUAGAGGAUAUACUGGAGGAAGAGGAAGAUGGCGGGGACUGGGAGAGUAAACGGAAAGAAGGAAAGGAAGAGAGAAAAGAAAAGAAGAAGGAAAAGGAAAAAGAGGCUGAUCCAACAGAGAUGACUGACGAGGAGUUCAUGAGGAGGCAAAUAAUGGAGAUGAGCGCUGACGAGGACAACGAGGAGGAGGAGGAAGAGGAAAUGGAGGAAGACGAAGAUGAGGAAGAUGAAGGUUACGGCUACCAGAAACCGAAGAAAAGCCACCACAAGCACAUCAUUUCUGACUCAGGGAAAGAAAAGAGACGGCUUCAGCACCACUCGAGUAGUUUUGAGGAAGAAACCAAGACCUCCGCCGAUGUCUACAAGGGUUCUGUGGAGGAGGGGGAGGAAGAUGUGAUGGCAUCCCAAGGGGGGCUGAGGCGCUUCAAAACCAUUGAACUCAACAACACCAACAGCUACAGCCGAGAUAUGGAGCUGAGCAAUGAAAAUGAUCUAAACCUGGACCGGGAGCCAGAGCUGGAAAUGGAGAGCUUAACCGGAUCUCCAGAGGAGCGUUCUAGGGGCGACUAUUCUUCAACUUUACCUCCAACUUCAUCCUCAUAUGGUUCAGGACAGUCUCCAACAUCCAUCUCAUCAAUGGAGGAAGACAGUGACAGUAGCCCAAGCAGGAGGCAAAGACUGGAGGAGGCCAAGCAGCAGAGGAAAGCACGCCACCGGUCUCACGGCCCCCUGCUUCCGACCAUUGAAGACUCCUCAGAAGAGGAUGAACUCAGAGAGGAAGAGGAGCUUCUGAGAGAGCAGGAGAAGAUGAGAGAGGUAGAACAACAGAGAAUAAGAAGCACAGCACGGAAAACCAAAAGGGAUAAGGAGGAGCUGAGGGCCCAAAGACGCCGAGAAAGAUCCAAAACACCACCUAGUAAUUUGUCACCAAUUGAAGACGCUUCCCCUACGGAGGAGCUAAGACAAGCAGCAGAGAUGGAAGAGCUUCAUCGGUCCUCUGCUUCUGAAUAUUCCCCCCAAAGUCUGGACUCUGAGGCUGAGGGGUACGAGUCCAAAAUCUACAAGUCAGGCAGUGAGUACAAUCUGCCUACUUUUAUGUCUCUCUAUUCGCCUAUAGAGAAAUCUUCCUCAACUACGACGACCACUGCUCCAUCAACAACCUCCAAACCUCUGAAGAGUGCUGAGGAAGUUUAUGAGGAAAUGAUGAGAAAAGCAGAGAUGCUGCAAAAACAAGAAAAGCUACAGCAGCAGCAACAACAACGACAUGGGCAGUACUAUGAGGAGGACAUUAAUGGACAAAACUACGACGACGACUAUGACUAUGAACAAGAUCAAACGGGAUAUGACAACGAAGCGGCGGAAAUAGAAAACGACAUUUAUGAGGAAAUCCGACAAACAUCUCAGAACAUCACUAAGAUGCAACAGGCCACAAAUGAGCAAGUCGAGAUUGAAAUUGAGAGUUCUUUUGCAGAUAAGCAGCUGCUGGACACAGGCUCAGCCUUUGCUAAACUACUAGAGCAAAGCAAUGCUCUGUUAACUCCGGGGACAAGUCCUACCCAGGUCUCAGCUCCUGUCUCCUUUGCUGAGAGUGGAGGUCGAAUACCAGACGUGAGAGUAAGCCAGCACUUCACCGCAAAGGAUGGGCACAAGGACAGAAUUAAAAGCCAAGCAGGAAAGAAUGGCAUAACUCCAACAGUGGCUGCUACCACCAUUGCAGCUUAUGGGGUUUAUGCCAGAGACGCAGUAACAAUUUCCCAAACAGGAUCAAGCCACACUAUGACAUCAACCCAAUCUGAUACCUCACGCAGACACACAGGGACUCUUGCCACAUCCUCAGCUACAGUCUCAAGUGUAUGUAGCAAGAUUGCAGAGAUUACCCAGGCCUAUAGUCAAAGAGAAGUAAUCACCAGAAGGAUUGGGGAGACAAGAGGUGUUCAAGUGCGGGACAGCUCGACAUCAUCUGCUGAGAGGAUUAUUGAACCACGCUCUCCUAAGUAUACUACCUAUUACAGGAGCACGAGUCCUCCUCUCUCUCCAUCACCACCGCCACCACAAAGUCCUAUUCGCUCUCCUUCCAGAAGGUCUACUGCUGAGUUCUCCACACAGACCUUCAACUCAGCCCUGCGAAUGGAGCCAGCUGGUUCUGGGCCCACAUCACCUGUGAUAGCUCAGGGAACCCAAACAGCACAUCGAUCAAUUUCCCCAAGGCUAUAUCGACAACAGUCUUCCCAGGAGGCUCCAUACUCCCCACCUCCAGGUCCAACUAGACCAAUGACAGUGAACACGGCAACUUCUCCAUUGUCCUCACCCACUCGAUUUAGCCGUCAGUCAACAUUUGAUAGCUACUCUCCAUGCGGCAGCCCCCCGGACACACCACCUUAUCAACAGUCACCGACACACAGCUUCUAUAGAGCGCAAAGAGUGGAGAAGGUGAAUGUAGGGACAAGCAUGGUCACUACUGCUGGUUUAUACACCAGAGGGUCUGUGUCCAUGGAUAAUAUCUCCCUCUGCCGAAUAUCUACAGUCCCGGGAACCUCAAGGGUUGAGCAGGGCCAUAUGAUCCAAGGUGGUAGUGUUGUAGAUCUAAGAACUGCAACCCACUCAGCUCCCAUUAUUAUGACUGAUCAGGGAAUGGACCUUACUUCCUUAGCUACAGAAAGCAGGAAAUACCACGGUGGACCAGAAGGUUCCAGGCAUUCAACAAUCAUACAACCACUGAUUAUGAAUUUGAACACACAAGAGACCACCACACCUACCACUGUGAGUGUCACUGUGGCUGCUUCUAUGUUUAUGACCCAGCUAAAACAUCCAGUGGUUUAUGGUGAUCCCCAUCAAAACCGAAUAGAUCUAGGUCAGGGCAUGGGCUCAGCGGUGUGUCUUUCUCAGAACAAAUCACCAAUUUCUCCUCCAACUGACCCUUCCAUUCCAAAAAUUGAUGCAAAAUUGGAAGAUCUCAGCAUACAACAAAGAGAAUUGCAAAAACAACAAGAGAAGCUGCAGAAACAACAAGAGCUCCUUGAGCAACAGCUACAACAGCACCAUCAGCUGCAGCAGCACCAACAACAGGCAUCUGUUCUAGCCAAGUAUAACCUCACAGGCCAGGUCUCACCUUUAGCUAAAAAAAAUUUAUUAGUCAGCCAGACUAGUACUGCAUCUACAGUGGUCAGUGCUGUUUCACCAGUCAUCAAUCCUGAGCUUUACGGCACUGGUCCUGUUGAGCUGAAAGGGAAGCCCAGCCCACCUGGUUUGAUGCAGGGGGGUAAAUCACCACAUAGUAUGGUUGUACAAAUGGAUGGAGGGCCCGAGCCAGUAAGGGCAUUGACUCAACUUGUGAAGGUAGAAGAAGGACAGGAUGCAGUGGAUUUGACAGGAGGCCAAAUAAAACCUGACCAACCAGCUUGUUGUGAUGUAGUUUACAGACUGCCAUUUGGUGGAAGUUGUGUUGGUGUCUCUGAGAAAGAGGGCAUAAGGCCACCGUCUGCCCCACCUCUUACAGAUGAAUCAGAUCAAGAAAGACAACCUGGAAGGUACCAUGAGUACCCAAUGGACACACGUAAGGCUUACACGUUACCUUUUCCUGGUAGGCUUCAGCCUUCAAUGUCUGAUACCAACCUUGCUGAUGCCGGCUUACAGUCAUACCACUCUAAAUAUGAACCACACCUCCAACAAGCUGGUGAACUUGUCAUGGACUUAACUGCUAUGAAACAGAGCUAUGGAGGAUAUAUGGGCAUGCAGUACGGUUCCUACACAGAUUUACGUCAUGGAGGAGACAUUUCAGCACAAACGUUGCCGAUAAGACGAUAUAAUUCCUUGUCUAACAUCAGUUCAGAUUAUGGUUAUUCUGCUCGUGAUAUUGCAAGCUUCCAAGAAGCUAACUUGGCUCAGUACAGUGCUACAACUGCAAGGGAGAUAAGUCGAAUGUGUGCUGCACUUAAUUCUAUGGACCGAUAUGGAAGCAACCCAGACUUGCUGCAGUAUGGCAGCUUAGGCAGAGGUACUGGACCAGGUGCCUCCAGACUUGCAGCAGGCAUUGGCAUGAGGCAAAGUCUGAUCUUUGGAUUAGAUGGAAAGCCUAUGUCUCAAAAUCAAGCUCUGACGAAUCUUAUCAAUGCCAGGCAGGCUAGUCUGAGGGCCAUGUACCCUGCUGCCAUUAGGUCAUCUGACGGAAUGAUUUACUCCACCAUUCAGACCCCAAUAGCUUCAACACUUCCCAUCACCACCCAACCUGCAUCUGUACUUCGACCUCUACUGAGAGGGGUCUAUAGGCCAUACGCUUCUCCCAACAUGACACCAGUGCCACUGGCCAGUCUCACCAGAUUACCCAUAAGCCCAAGAAUGCCCUUAUCUGGACAAGUACCACUUCGUUAUCCAGCGCCAGGUCUGCUUCAGACAACUUCAGCCAUUGCCUCUACCACUGUUGCUGCAUCAACUUCAGCCCUUGUGCCCAUGUCUUUGACAACCGCAAGCUCAACAGCCCUGGAGGAACCUGUUUACCUUGGUAAAGGUGCCAAAGUGACAUCAGCAGAGGUCACUUCAGCACAAGGAGUGCUUGUCACUUUGACCGAACCGCAGCAGCAACCAAUAAACCUGUCCCAGACACAUCUGAACACCCAACAACAGAAACAAGUGACAACGGCUCAGCAGCCACAGCCUCCUCCUGCAGCUCACGUAUACCCACCCUCAAGUCCAGCAGUAACCCAAGGCUACACCCAGCCUGCUGCAGGCCCAUCGGUCCCCACCACUGGCUUGCCCGUUCCAUGUGGUCUCCCUCCUUUCCCUCCACCUGGUGCAAUACAUAAAGAGGGUGAAACUGAGGCAGAGAGGCUUCACCGACAACAGGAGCAGCUUCUGCAGAUGGAGAGGGAGCGCGUAGAGUUAGAGAAACUUCGUCAGCUGCGACUGCAAGAAGAGCUUGAGCGCGAAAGAAUGGAGCUGAAGUUUCACAGGGAGAAGGAGCAAAUUCUGGUGCAGAGGGAGUUACAAGAGCUGCAGAACAUCAAGGAACAGGUGUUACAGCAGCAGCAGCAAGAGCGCGAGAAACAACUCGUUCUCCAACGAGAGCAGUUGGCCCAGCAGAAAUCCCAGCUCGACCAGAUACAAUCUUUGCAGCAGCAGCUCCAGCAACAACUACAAGAGCAGAAGCGGCUGAAAACUGCUGCUCAGACCAUGCAGCUGGAUAUGACCGGACAGCCAUUGCAUCCCUACAUAGACUCUCAGAUGAGCUCGCGCUCUCUCCCUAACUCUUCCUCAGAGAUAUGUUUGAGGAAUCAGGAUGAACAGCUGGAAGCCAGAGCUGGUAUGAGGAAACAUAGCUCCAUGAGCAGGCUGACCCGAGACACCUCUGAUGGAGAUGGUGUGAUUUUCUAUGGCUCCCCUCGCAGAAUUGUGGAUAGUUGUGUACAGACUGAUGAUGAAGAUGGAGAAGAGAGGUACAUGAUGCGUCAUCGUACCAGGAGGCGUGGUCGGAGCGUUGACUGCUCCGUCCAGACGGAUGACGAUGAGGAUAAGGCUGAAACGGAGCAUCCAGUUCGCCGCAGACGCUCCCGGUUUUCCCGCCAUGCCGAGUCCACAGCAGCUGGCACCAGCACUGCCUCGACAACCACCUCGACAACAGACACCAAAGCUGACACAUCCAAGAUAGUUUCCUCCAGCAUCGCUGUCCAGACCAUCAGGGAGGUGUCCUGUCAGACAGAAGCUGAGCACCUAGGAAGAGUCUCCCCGGCAAUCCAUGUGACAUUACCAGACCCUAAUAAAGUAGAGAUCGUACACUACAUUUCUGGACCAGAGCGCACACAAAAAGGACAAUCUCUUGCCUGCCAGACUGACUCAGAAGGGCAGUCGCAGGGCGUUGUAGCUCCACAGCUAACAGUGCCGACUACAGUCAGUCCAUAUUCUUCCUCUGCCGGUACCGGAACAGGGCCGUCCAGUUCGGCUGACCUUCACACCCAACAGCGCCAGCAGCAACACGUUGCAGCGAAUGCAGCAAAAUUUGAGCGACGUCGUCCUGACCCAUUAGAUAUUAACUAUCAGCCUCACAACCACCUUCACAAUGAGUCCAUCUCCAGCCUCAUCCGGCAGCAACAAACCACACCGAAAUCUCCACAGGUCCUCUACUCUCCUGUGUCGCCAGUGUCCCCACACCGCCUGCUGGAGACCUCCCUGUCAAGCGAGAGACUGAACAAGGCCCACGUCACACCUCAGCAGAAGUCUUACACAGCCGAAUCCCCCCAGCGACACCCAUCUGUGCCCCGACCCAUCAAGAGCACCCAUAGGUCCAUGUCGGACCCCAAGUCCCUCAGCCCAACCACAGAUGAGCACACCAAGGCCAGGCUGUCCCUGUAUCAACAACAAGCACUCCAGAGCCAGCUGGCAGCCUUACAGCAAAGCUCUUUGCUUCGGAAGGUUAAGCGAACCCUGCCCAGCCCUCCUCCAGACGAGACUGCUACAUCAGCUCACUUGACCAUGAUGACACCUGCCCAACAACAGAUCUACCUGUCCUCCGUGCCCAGCCUCAAGCCCAGCUCAAGGUCUGGCCUGGCUGCUAAAGCCAGCCUCCUCAAAGAUCUCACCCACGAGCUGAAGGCCGUGGAGCAAGAGUCUACCAAGCUUAGAAAGCAACAAGCUGAACUGGAGGAGGAAGAGAAAGAAAUUGACGCUAAGCUGAGGUACCUGGAACUGGGAAUUCAUCAGAGGAAAGAGACUUUGGUAAAGGAGAGGGAAAGAAGGGACAUUGCCUACCUAAGAUGUAUGGGGGACACCAGAGACUAUAUGUCUGACAGUGAGUUGAAUAACUUGCGUUUAGCAGCUGCUGCUGCAUCACAUGAGGCAAAUGGGCUACUAACAACCAGACCAAGCACUGCUCCACUUAGCCAAUUUACCAGUGACCUCAACACAGCAGCCCAGUACCCACCAACCUCAUCCUUCCUCUCUUGUCAAUAUCCCCAGAGCCAACCACCAGCACCAUCUCAGCAAUCAAGUGUGCCAUACCAGUCAUCCACAUUCAACCAGCCUCCUUACCCAACAGUGUCGCAGUCACAGGCCCUGCCACAGCCCAUGACCCUUCAGAGUCAUCCCCCUCCUCCUGGACCUACCUUUCAACCUCAAACAUCCUAUCCUUCCCACACCUAUCCACAAGCUCAGCCCCCAUAUCCCCAAACUGAUGCGGGGUUACCAUCUGCACCUCAGCCUCCAGCAGGGCCUACAGGUUUUGGACCUGCACCGCCUGGUCAGCCACCAUACCCCACCCACAGCUCACCUUAUCCCAGCGCUGUGUCCCUCUACCCCACCCAGACGACUCCAUAUCCUGGGCAGCCCCAAGCUGAUAUUCUUACCGUUCACCAUGGAAGACCCAGACAGACAUCACUUGCUGAACUUGAACAUAAGAUGCCAACCAACUAUGAGACUAUCAGCAACCCGACAGUUGUGGUCACGACCACAGCCCAAGAUGCUACCUUUUCCAGUGCAGCCCCAGCCUAUGGUCCGUACACGGGAACAACAACAAUGGCAAGCUCCUAUGGGCCGUAUGGAUCUGCACCUGUUUCCAGCAGUUAUGGUGGUUACGCCACAGUGCCUCCAAGCACUUAUGGUCCAUAUACAUCAACCCCAGCUAGCUCAUAUGGCCAGUACACAACAACUACUGCUAAUACAUAUGGCUACACCACCACCACAGCCAGUUCUUAUGGACAGUACACUUCAACAGUUUCCAAUGCCUAUGGGCACCCUGUAGACAGUCCUUCCACCUACAGCACAGCCGAAGGAAUGUAUGGGGCUCCUGGUUUAGAGCAAAACAUUCCAAGGAACUACAUGAUGAUCGAUGAUGUGAGCGAGCUGACGGCAAAGGACGGGCUGGGCACGACAGCAGGGGACAUGAUGCAUCAUGGCAGUAGCGGGCGUUACCCUGGCGACAUCCAUGGCCAUGGCAGCACAUCUGGCAGCACGGCGCGUGGGGGAACUGGCAGCUCCCCCUACGGCAGGGCACCUGAGGAGGAAGCAGCGAUGCAGGAUGAGCUGUACGACCACCACGGCAGGGGUAAGAGCAGCUACAGGCACGGACCUCUAGGGGGCAGCAGCAGCAGCGUGAGCACUAGCAUGGGUGGGGGAUCCCCCUAUUUCUAUGACUACGACUACAAACUUGCCAGCAUCCGCUCCGGGGUACAGAAACCUUUGGCGUCCUCCAGAAGCCUUCUGGCCCCCGCUGUCAUGUCCUCCAAGCGCAGCAAGCACAGGAAGCUGGGGACUAUGGAGCAGAAAAUUUCAAAGUUUUCCCCAAUAGAGGAGGCUCGAGAUGUCGAGGCAGAUUUGGCCUCCUAUUCUGCAGGUGAGGCUUACCCCUCAUCUAACAUUCGAGGGCGCCAGCUGAUCGAGGAUUAUGGCUUCAAGAGGAGUGCUUUUGAUGGCACCAGUGGCACAACUCAUGGAAGUCGACACUACGGUAUGAUGGUGGAUGAGGACGAUCGGAUUUACUACACCUCAACUGGCCGCUCCCGCUCCCAUGGCUACGGCAUGGACAAGAUCUCAGCCAGAGAUUACCAUGGCUAUCGAAGCAGAUCCUAUGAGAGAGACGACCGCUCCUACCGUUCUGGCUACAGAGGACGCCACCCAACUCGGCAAUACUCUGAGGAGGAGAGCCCACUCAGCCCUUUGGGGAAAUUCAUGGGUUCUGGGAGAUCUUCAAGCUUAGGUCGUGACCCAUAUGACAGUCGCAGCAGUAAAUAUUAUUACUAUUAUGGCAAUUAUGGUUCCAGUCACUCGCUGCCAGAUGUUCAAGACCAUAUACGGGACCUUCCCCGGACACAUGUCUACAAAUCGGAUGAUACAUACAUUAUUGAUGAUUAUCAUUGUGCUGUGUCAGACAGUGAAGCCUACCAUCUGGGCCAGGAAGAAACUGACUGGUUUGAGAAACCACGCUCCAGUUCUCGACACUACGGCAGCAGCCACUCUGGAAGAAGUCGGCAUGGUGUCAAGCACACCUAUCAUGAUUAUGAUGAACCUCCUGAGGAGGACCUGUGGCCGCAAGAUGAGUACAGCCAUGGCGGGCGGCAUUCAUCAUCACGUGACCACAGGCACCAUGGCACCUCUAGCCGGCACUCUUCCUCCCGUCACUCAGAUGAGCCGAGAUCCUCGAGGUCAUCUAAGGGGCAUCCCAAAGACCCGUCUAUGCGCCAUGACCCCUCAGGACGUUCUUCAUCUUCAGGAAGGCGUGGUGAGUCCAGGUCUGGAGGGUAUCACUCUUCCGACUACUCCAGGGAUCCGUCUGGACAUCAUCACGGCCAAAGGUCUUCCAGGCAGGGAGAUCCACACAGAUCCUCACGCAGCAAGUCCCAGGGCCAAAUGGACAUGCAGGGCCAACCACCAGGCUCCUCCAGGUCCGGCAGCAGUACUGGGCGAGCUCAGGGCUCUGCUGGUGGGCCUCCAGGAUCCGGGCGACUAGGCGGUCCGGGUUCUCAGAUGGAUGGGACCCAAGGACAGAGGACUCAGCUCCAGCAGCAGGCCCAGACAGCUGCAUCCAGACCAGGACAGCCUGGCACAACAGCGACCACAGGCCUUCAGCAGCAGCCACCAGCCCAAGGUCAAGGCAUGGGCAUGGGGAUGGGCAUGGGCAUGGGCAUGGGUCAGGCCCAGGCCCAGGCCAAACCAGGGCAAUUGGGACCAGCAGGCGGGCCGAUGGGCCAGGCUCGACCAACUGGUGCAGCAGGAACCACACCGCCCACCAUGACAAAGAUCGACACGCCUCCUGUAACGGCGAUUGGGGCGAAAGCGGCACCCGUCAUGGCCUCGAAGGCAGGCCAGCCCCCGCUUACAGGAAUAGGCUCCAAGGCAGCUCCGAGACCCGGCGGCAUCGGCAGUGCAGCGGCAGGUCAGCCUGGCAUGGAGGGAGAAGGAAUGUUUUCCAAGAUUCUUCCCGGCGGCGCUGCUGAGCAGGCCGGCAAACUGGGAGAAGCUAUCUCUGGCUUUGGCAAGAAAUUCACCUCCUUAUUCUGAGGUGACACAAGUCAGGAUUAUGAAAAAUGUCAUAAAUGAAGUCAUGAGGCCUCAUACGAGAAAAACCUGUGAAGUUCCCCCUGCUUUUGUUUCCCCGAAAAAAGAGAAAGGAAAGAGAGAGAGGAUGAUGACUGAGAGGAGAGCGGAGCGUUCUGCCAAAACAGACUGGAAUCCUCUGGAUGCUUCAUGUCUCAGAUCUGAGCAUACAAAGGCAGAGAGAACACUCUGAUCUCUCUGACAGCCCAGACAGUCAUUCCAAGCCCGAGCCAACAUCCAUCUUCAGAGGGAUUCCCAUUGUUAUGCAGCUUCUCUCAGAAAACCUGCAGCAGCUACAAACAUCUACACCCCUACAUGAAAACAGAGCAGCUGCUGGCUGAAGGUGACAGCAGAAGAAACAGCUGUACGACCGUGAUCACCCUCCCUGCCAGCAGGGGGAGCCGUGUUCAACGUAACAGCCCGACAGUUACGUUGACGUGGUGCAGACAACGACUGACGGCCGCAUUUGUCCACGAGAGCUGCUUUCAUCCUAACUUCCUGUAGGAGGUGAUAGCUUGGUUUUCCAGUCCUGUGCUCAAUCUUGAAGGAAUAUAAAUCACCUCUCCUCUUUUCUGUCUUUUUCCGAAGUAAACAAUGAGCAAAAAAAAAAAAAAAAAAGGGGAAAACUCACCGAGGCGUCACAGGUUUUUCUUGUACGAAAGUCGUCUCGUUUUACCACCAAAUACUGA